This 373-nucleotide ribosomal RNA is filed under the name uncultured organism. Its description in RNAcentral is "bacterial SSU rRNA". It matches the Rfam family "Bacterial small subunit ribosomal RNA", at positions 525 to 896 of the family's 1533-position model. The record is from RNAcentral.
CGAGAGGUGGCAAGCGUUGUUCGGAAUUACUGGGCGUAAAGGGCGCGUAGGCGGCCUUCUAAGUCAGACGUGAAAUCCCCAGGCUUAACUUGGGAACUGCGUCUGAUACUGGAGGGCUCGAGUGCGGGAGAGGGAUGUGGAAUUCCAGGUGUAGCGGUGAAAUGCGUAGAUAUCUGGAGGAACACCGGUGGCGAAGGCGGCAUCCUGGACCGACACUGACGCUGAGGCGCGAAAGCUAGGGGAGCAAACGGGAUUAGAUACCCCGGUAGUCCUAGCCCUAAACGAUGAGUGCUUGGUGUGGCGGGUAUCGAUCCCUGCCGUGCCGAAGCUAACGCAUUAAGCACUCCGCCUGGGGAGUACGGUCGCAAGGCUG